This 413-nucleotide ribosomal RNA is filed under the name uncultured microorganism. RNAcentral's name for it is "bacterial SSU rRNA". It matches the Rfam family "Archaeal small subunit ribosomal RNA", at positions 330 to 745 of the family's 1478-position model. The record is from RNAcentral.
GUGCAGCAGUCGAGAAACCUCCGCAAUGCGCGCAAGCGCGACGGGGCCAUCCCGAGUGCCGCUCGCUGAGGGCGGCUUUUCUCCGGUGUAAGUAGCCGGAGGAAUAAGGAGAGGGCAAGUCUGGUGUCAGCCGCCGCGGUAAUACCAGCUCUCCGAGUGGUGGGGACGAUUAUUGGGCCUAAAGCGUCCGUAGCCGGCUUGACAAGUCUCCCGUUAAAUCCAGCGGCCUAACCGCUGGGCUGCGGGAGAUACUGUCAAGCUUGGGGGCGGGAGAGGCCGGCGGUAUUCCCGGGGUAGGGGUGAAAUCCGUUAAUCCCGGGAGGACCACCAGUGGCGAAGGCGGCCGGCCAGAACGCGCCCGACGGUGAGGGACGAAAGCUGGGGGAGCGAACCGGAUUAGAUACCCGGGUAGU